GAAGGGCUCCUGAAGCGCGGCCAGAGUGGGCUGAGGCCGAGGAGGCGCCGAGAGCCAGCGAGGGGAUGCCAGCAAGCUGUCACCUCUCAGAAAUACAGGAAGAACAUCAAUAAUGUUCGAAGUUAUAAAUUGCGGAGGCCAGAAGUCAGAAAACAAGGUGUCUGCAGGACCAACCUCUCCUCUGGAUGCUCUAGAAGCCUGAGCCUACUUCAGUCUGGAACCACCUAGUCUUCAGGUUUGCCUGGUGCUCACCAGCUGAAGAAAUCCUUUAACGACCUUUAUUCAGUCAAGUAAAUUGUUUUCUUUUGGCAACUUGCAUGUUAUUUUUUAGGUUUUCAUUUAUUUAUUUUUUUAUAUUUAAAGUCAUAUUUUCUUCCUUUUAUUCACUUUGCUGGUCUUUCUCACUUUGAUUUUUUUUUGCCUUGUUUUGCAUUUGUUUACUUUAACAUUUUUUGUAACUUAUCUCUUUUAUUUUGGAAAUUAUUCACAUUAUCAGUUUUCUUUUGCUAGGCAAUUUUGAUAUUCUAAUAAACAUUAUUAACAUAAAAUAUAAAGUUUACUAACACCAAGCCCAAACAAUACAAAGUCUUAGGGCUCUUUAAUUGCAAUUAUUUAAAAAUAUUUGCUACAAAUUGUUCAUUAUUUUAUAUUUACGUUGUUUUUCUUAUUCCCACAAAUCACAUAUUGUUGGUGUGUUUGUUAAAUAAAAAUCUUUAAUUGC
This is a long non-coding RNA of Homo sapiens (human), 721 nucleotides long. Ensembl annotates it as long intergenic non-protein coding RNA 240. NCBI's taxonomy places the organism in Eukaryota, Metazoa, Chordata, Mammalia, Primates, Hominidae. The record is from Ensembl.